This 396-nucleotide ribosomal RNA is filed under the name uncultured bacterium. RNAcentral's name for it is "bacterial SSU rRNA". It matches the Rfam family "Bacterial small subunit ribosomal RNA", at positions 363 to 776 of the family's 1533-position model. The record is from RNAcentral.
AUUUCACAAUGGGGGAAACCCUGAUGCAGCAACGCCGCGUGAGUGAAGAAGUAUUUCGGUAUGUAAAGAUCUAUCAGCAGGGAAGAAANNGACAGUACCUGACUAAGAAGCCCCGGCUAACCACGUGCCAGCAGCCGCGGUAAUACGUAGGGGGCAAGCGUUAUCCGGAUUUACUGGGUGUAAAGGGAGCGUAGACGGUUAUGCAAGUCAGAAGUGAAAGCCCAAAGCUCAACUUCGGGACUGCUUUUGAAACUGUGUAACUAGAGUGCAGGAGGGGUAAGCGGAAUUCCUAGUGUAGCGGUGAAAUGCGUAGAUAUUAGGAGGAACACCGGCGGCGAAGGCGGCUUACUGGACUGUAACUGACGUUGAGGCUCGAAAGCGAGGGGAGCAAACAGG